CUGCUGCCUCCCGUAGGAGUCUGGACCGUGUCUCAGUUCCAGUGUGGCUGGUCAUCCUCUCAGACCAGCUAGGGAUCGUCGCCUAGGUGAGCCGUUACCCCACCUACUAGCUAAUCCCAUCUGGGCACAUCCGAUGGCAAGAGGCCCGAAGGUCCCCCUCUUGGUCUUGCGACGUUAUGCGGUAUUAGCUACCGUUUCCAGUAGUUAUCCCCCUCCAUCAGGCAGUUUCCCAGACAUUACUCACCCGUCCGCCA
Molecule: ribosomal RNA, 254 nt
Filed under: uncultured bacterium
Lineage: Bacteria
Description: partial 16S ribosomal RNA
Source: RNAcentral